Molecule: ribosomal RNA, 512 nt
Filed under: uncultured bacterium
Lineage: Bacteria
Description: bacterial SSU rRNA
Rfam family: Bacterial small subunit ribosomal RNA
Source: RNAcentral
UUCUGGCUCAGGAUGAACGCUAGCUACAGGCUUAACACAUGCAAGUCGAGGGGCAGCAUUGGGAUAGCUUGCUAUUCAGAUGGCGACCGGCGCACGGGUGAGUAACGCGUAUCCAACCUUCCUGCCAGUAGGGAACAGCCCGGCGAAAGUCGGAUUAAUGCCCUAUGUUCUUCAAUGCGGACAUCUAAGUUGAAGGAAAGAUUCAUCGCUGGCAGAUGGGGAUGCGUCCGAUUAGCUUGCCGGCGGGGUAACGGCCCACCGGGGCGACGAUCGGUAGGGGUUCUGAGAGGAAGGUCCCCCACACUGGUACUGAGACACGGACCAGACUCCUACGGGAGGCAGCAGUGAGGAAUAUUGGUCAAUGGGCGUAAGCCUGAACCAGCCAAGUAGCGUGCAAGGAUGACGGCCCUACGGGUUGUAAACUGCUUUUAUGCGGGGAUAAAGUGCGGCACGUGUGCCGCUUUGCAGGUACCGCAUGAAUAAGGACCGGCUAAUUCCGUGCCAGCCGCGGC